RNAcentral lists this ribosomal RNA (292 nucleotides) under uncultured bacterium. RNAcentral's name for it is "partial 16S ribosomal RNA". It matches the Rfam family "Bacterial small subunit ribosomal RNA", at positions 505 to 796 of the family's 1533-position model. The record is from RNAcentral.
GUGCCAGCAGCCGCGGUAAUACGGAGGGUGCGAGCGUUGUUCGGAAUUACUGGGCGUAAAGCGCGUGCAGGCGGUCGAUUAAGUCCGGUGUGAAAGCCCGGGGCUCACCCCCGGAAGUGCGCUGGAAACUAAUCAACUAGAGUACGGGAGAGGGAAGUGGAAUUCCUGGUGUAGCGGUGAAAUGCGUAGAUAUCAGGAGGAACACCGGCGGCGAAGGCGGCUUCCUGGACCGAUACUGACGCUGAGACGCGAAAGCGUGGGGAGCAAACAGGAUUAGAUACCCCAGUAGUCC